GCCAGAUACACAGUAUUUAUGCACAGACCCCCACAGGGGGUCUCCAUCCACAGUAAUGUAAAACAUAAGCCUGCCCUGGCGUCCCUUUGUCUGGGACAUAAUGGUAUCUACCAGACACAGGAAUCCGACACACAAAAUCCCACAAAAUACACAGUAAUGCAUCCAUCCCCAUAUGCCCUACUUCCCUGGAUAGCUCCUGGUGUGAGCUAUGUUCCCUGAAAAAGUCUGGGCUCGAGGCUCUGUACAUACCCUAAACAGUUCCACAAGAUCACUUGGUUUAGGCUGGUGAAAGAAGCGGCCAAUCGGAAAAAAGGGCGAAAACACGUAGUGGCCAGUCAGCAUUCAGGGAGAGAAGGUGUUGUGGCGAAACCAACCUCGCCACUGUGAACUGGAGAAGCCUGGUUGCUCGCCUGCUCCCUUUGGACUAUGGCCCUGCAGGUUAAACCGUUUAUUUCCCCUGCAGAAAGGCUUAUUUGUGUGAUCUGAGUGCCAUUCAUCUAAUAAUGUGCACUCAGAUCCCAGCUAUCUGGGGAUAUGUGAAAUGCCUGUGUGUUAUGUGUAAAUAUGACUUUAUGUAUUUUAAAGUGUUUUGUGUCUUUUUGCAACCAUGUGCUUAAUGGAGUCUUGUGUCUAUCCUGGGAGAUAAUUGAAUUACUUAUCUCCAGGAUAGAAGACUCUGAAACUGGUUUGGGCUAGAAAGCCAUGCUUCAUUUAGUCACAAAGGACUUUUUACUAACUUUUGAACCCUUUGUCUGAUUUGUGCCAUUUUUGAAUAUGUUGUUCCCCUGAAUGGAUUGAUUGAGAAUAUGUAAUUUUAUGUGAAUGUGAUGUAUGGUUUUGGAGUUAUGAAAGUUGGGUAGAAAGUACGUUUUAACUGUAUGUAUAAUUGAGUUUCCUCUCAGGAUAAGGGGAGGGAAUAUGUGGGAUGUAACUGUGAUGUGAUUGGUUGUUUUGUAACGCCCUGUGGGCUGUACUAUGUUUGUGGAUUGGGAAUAAAAGAGACUGUAUGUGACAGUACAGGAAGUUCCUGCUUAACCCUCAAAGUGAAGUGUCGUCUCAUUAUUGGGGGAAGGAUUCAUUGUAUGCUGUUCCAGUUUGACUGCUAGGAGAGUAAACCUAUUCGUAUGGUUCCUAUUCAACUGUUUACAGCAUUCAUAUGCUUGGGAGAAUUUAUUUGUUUCUCCGGUUCGGUGAUUGUGGUGUCUGCCAGAGUGCUUGGAGUCCUCAGGAAGCGCUAGGAGCAUCCUUCAGCGGAGGUACCCAGUCGGGGGUGCCAGGUGAUCCGUUACAGGUGUUUAGCUGACCAAUCAGGAGAAAGGGUGCAAAACCAAUUUGGAUUGUAGCGCUUCUUCCAUUGGUCGGCACGGUCUCUGCGGUUGUGAAGCAGCCUGCUUGUUUUAUAAUGUCGACUAGGGCUCACGCCUCUCCUUGUUGGAUGUCUCCACGUGGGUAGCACCAGGGAGAGCAUUCUUUGAGGUAGACAAGCCUCCAAGGGACAAAGUGGUGGCGGGGAGCGGGAGGGCUGCAUUCUGUUGGUGUACACAGUCAUACUGACACAGUUUGUU
RNAcentral lists this long non-coding RNA (1565 nucleotides) under Pelobates cultripes (western spadefoot toad). Lineage: Eukaryota; Metazoa; Chordata; Amphibia; Anura; Pelobatidae. The record is from RNAcentral.